Felis catus (domestic cat) is the source of this 1842-nucleotide long non-coding RNA. RefSeq lists it as uncharacterized. NCBI's taxonomy places the organism in Eukaryota, Metazoa, Chordata, Mammalia, Carnivora, Felidae. The record is from RefSeq and is a predicted model, not a curated record. The transcript is spliced from 3 exons.
CGGGAGCAGGAGCCAGAGCACCAACAUUUCGGCCCGCGAGACGGGAAGGAAGGUGUGGCACGAGUGGUUUCGCUGAACUCUGACCCUCACGCCAGAUAAUAACCAACUGCAGCCACGUUCUCACAGACCCUGGGGGGGAAUUUUCAAAAAUCCUGACAGGAAGGGACAUCGGAUCAGAUCAUCUUUAAGAAGAUAGCAGAUGAUAAGCCGCCUACAGCCAACACCUGAGAACUCUCUGUAACCAGAAGCUUGAGGAAAUCACCAAGCAAUUUAAAUGAACUAUAACAAAUCAUUCUCUCUCAAAUUUCAUUGUCAUCCCCUACCUGUUUCUCUUUCUAUACUUGUUGCUAUACUCUUUGCUGUAGGGCUUACCCAAGUUACUCCCGCAGACUGGCGCCUCAGUCACAAACUCUUGUUAGCUUUCCUCUACUUACUAGUGUCAGGAUGUCUUAUUCUCCUUAGAUGUAUAUGAUCUGAGUUAUGAUUGCUGUCCCCUAUUUGGAAUAAGAAACUGUCAGGAACCUACCCUAACACACAAAAAAAAUUCUCCUACUGUUAAUGCUGAGUUCUCUCAUAAGAAUUGAUGUCCCUCCUCAAUGUAAUGAUGACUGUUUCAAGACCAGCACAUGAGCUCCUCCCUUUCCCCUGCCCUGAAUAGCCUAAAACAACCCCUAGGACAGGGAACUACACACAAGGCCUUCACCAAAUACACAUAUCAACAUGCAAAAUGUUAUCAGUCAGCCUUGCUCUGUUCCCACAAUGAAAAACCUUAUUGGCAAGGAAGAAUUAAAGCAAGACACCUUUCACAGGGAACAAUCAUGUCAUGGAGUCCCAGACAAAUAUGCCUGCUAGGCACAAUAAACCCACUUUGGAUUGUCUGAUGGAGGGGGAGUCCAAGGCCAGGACUGUAAGGAGUCAUCCCAACAGGAGGUACAAAAUUCCAUAAAGCAAACUUCUGGAAGUCUGUCCAGGAGACCCAAACUUCCAAAAAUCAGACUCAGUGGCCCUUAUGACUUUAACUUGCUCAUACCAGAUUCUAAAUUCAACCCAUCAUCUUCUCAACUCCUCUAACCCUAAUUAGCCAAGGACUGUUGGUUUUGUCUCUCUCUAACCCCCUUACCUGCCCCAGACCCAGGUAAUGUAAUCAAAAUGGCUAUCCCCCGCAACAUGUCAACAGAUAACAUAACUGUCACAAUAGGGCCCACGGUUACUGAUAUGAAGGUAAUAGGGUGGGCCUCCUUAUGUUUUAAAGACCAGUGGGGAACAACCCCUCUACAUAACUUAACUAACAACCAGUGAAACCAAGCUGAGAUAUACAAACAGAAGCUAUAAUACUCCAGAUGAUGCUCCAGUUGGACCAUUCUAGCUGUCGCUACUCUCCUUUGGAUGGCAAAGAACCCUAGCUGUCACAUUCCUCCCUUCCACGUCCCUGUCCAGCAGGAAGAAGCCAGAAUGGUCUUCACCCCUCCUCCCAUGGCCGCAAAGGAUUUCCUGGCCUCCACAAACUGAUUUUCUCUAAGUCAGCUACAGCAGCUUGAGAAUCAAGGGUGGGGUGGGAAUGGGGGGGUGGGAGGUAGGGAUGAGAAGGAAAGUUGGUAAAAAGCAGAUAAAAAGGGGCAGCCAGAUGUCUGGGGCAGGAUACUCCCCUUGCAUGCUUUUGGCUUCUACAAUCUUGCUUGCCUCUUGUAUCAGCCAGAAGCCAGGAACUGUACUAGCCCCGCCCAACCCGGAAGCACGUAUGUAUAAAAAACCAGUAAAACCAUAGCAGGAUGCACAGUCUUUAAAGGUGACUCUGCUGGCCCAGCACCUGUGCGAAAUAAACAGUCUUUUCUGAUUCCCGGA